GGGGCCAUCUCUUCUUGUCCUACCUCUCCUGUCAACGCUUCCUCGGCCAAAUCACCGUACUCCGUAUAGUACCAUCAGGAAUUGAAUCAAUGGAAACCAUCUGGCCUUGGUACAUGUCUUGUUCGAUGUCAAAACCUAAGCCUUCUGGAGGAACUUUGGCCAGAUGAGUCAUCUGUCUCAGCGCCUUCUUGAAGCCCUUGGUGUGCUCCUGGCGAAUGGCCUCCAUCAUCUCUGCCUCGGUAUUCUUCC
RNAcentral lists this long non-coding RNA (249 nucleotides) under Vigna radiata. RNAcentral describes it as "long non-coding RNA (VRAD_LNC008368)". Lineage: Eukaryota; Viridiplantae; Streptophyta; Magnoliopsida; Fabales; Fabaceae. The record is from RNAcentral.